AGUCUCCAGGCUCCACCCCUUUCCCCUCCCGCCAGGAUGUUUCUUACGGCCAACAUGGCCGCCCCCUGUGUGUCCUGCGGCCGAGUGCUUUCCCUUUGGUUCACUCCCGCUGUUAGAGCUAGCCUCUGCCAGAGGCCCGGGUACUGGACAGCCUCGGCGGUUGGCUGGCAGACAGGGACCAGGUUCCAGCUAUCAAAGCUAAUACAUACCACAGUUGUAACAACAAAGAAAAAUGUCCAAGCCUCAAGACAGGAAUCAUAUACAGAAGAUUUUAUUAAAAAGCAGAUUGAAGAAUUCAAUAUAGGGAAGAGGCACUUAGCCAACAUGAUGGGAGAAGACCCGGAAACUUUUGCUGAAGAGGAUAUUGAUAGAGCUAUUGCUUACCUUUUUCCAAGUGGUUUGUUUGAGAAGCGAGCCAGGCCAAUGAUGAAGCAUCCUGAACAUAUUUUUCCAAAACAAAGAGCAACCCAGUGGGGAGAAGAUGGCCGUCCAUUUCAUUUUCUCUUCUAUACUGGCAAACAAUCGUACUAUUCAUUAAUGCACGACGUGUAUGGAAAGGUCAUGCAGCUGGAAAAGCACAGAGGGCCACUGUCGGCAAGCGCUGAGUCCAGAGACCUGAUUGGCAGCAGAUGGCUGAUUAAGGAGGAACUAGAAGAAAUGUUAGUGGAAAAACUGUCAGAUGAAGAUGGUCAGAGAAGAAAUGGUGAGAGUGUCUGAGUCCAGGGACACAGCUGGGGAGGAAGAGGAAACGGGCUAGCAGUGUGGCCAUGGGUACCGAGCCAGCAUGGUCACAGGUGUGUAGGUUCUCUGCCCUGACUUAGAAUCCGCAUGUCUUCCCUCUUAUUCUUGCUUCCCAGGAAGAUGUAUGUAUUUGAACAGUUGUUUUAAUACUGCUUAGACUGUUGAGAGUCUCAGAUAUUUCGAAUUAAUCAUUAAUGGUUUUUCAAUGGAAAGGCAAGUGUGGCAAAGUUGGGUAUGACUUUUAGGGUUGGCAAGGAACAAAUAAGUCAUCAAAAACUGGGCUCCCCAAUCCAUCUUAACUCAAGCUCUUAAGUGUAGUUGUUUCCUUCUCCACAGACACUCUAGAAUGAUUAUUCUGGCUUCUAAUUUUAAGGGGUUAAUACCAAGUUGUUUACUUUCUAAUCACAUGUUCAAGAACUAUUAAAAAAAAUGCACAGAGUAGCAAGGAUAAUUUAUUUCAAGAGGUUGCCCUUUAAGUCAAGUAUCUCUUGAAUUUUUAAAUAGCUUGAUUGUUCGGUUUUAAAGGAAAUCAUAAACAUUAAAGUAACACAGCUUGAACAGCCAAAAAUAUAUUUGCCAAAUGUAUUAUGAAAUAUAACUUAAGGGGAACAUUUUCUCAAAAUCAGACUCUUCUGCUAUUUAUAACUGACUAGAAAUUAUUUCUAAUGUUCCUUUUGAUGCAGUUCUAUUGACAGACUAGAAGUUAUACUUUUGAAGAUCAUCUAAAUAUUUUUAAAAUAAAUUUAAAUAUCAAUUUCAUGAUCAUAAUGCAGAGAAAUUGAUUUUUUGAGUGAUAAAUCCCUUUGUUUUUUUUGAGAGGAAAGCUUGAGUACGAACGAUGCACGAGAAAGGGAUGCAUCUGCUGCUGUUGGAAAAGCAGCAUGAAGAUGCACAAGUGUCAUCCUGUCAAAAUUCAUCAAGAAAAGCAGCAUUGGAAAGAUCAAGUAUAUAUAAAUAGCAAAACUUUAGCAAAUGCAAUUACACUUGCUUCUUCUAAUGAAGUCUAUUGUCUGCAGUAUGCACAGUUCAUCCGACUGCUCGAGAAGCUAUUGACAUUGCCGUGCGGGCCUGCAGAAGAAGAAUUUGUGCAGAGGUUCCGCAGAAGUGUAACUAUUCAAUCAAAAAAGCAACUGAUUGAACCCGUGCAGUAUGACGAGCAGGGCAUGGCCUUCAGCACCAGCGAAGGCCGGAGGAAGAGCGCCACGGCACAGGCGGUCGUUUAUGAGCACGGAAGCGGGAAGAUCCACGUGAACGGAGUUGAUUAUCUAAUUUACUUUCCCAUCACACAGGACAGAGAACAGUUGAUGUUCCCUUUCCACUUCCUGGACCGGCUGGAGAGA
Mus musculus (house mouse) is the source of this 2081-nucleotide RNA transcript. It is a transcript of the gene named mitochondrial ribosomal protein S9, with no coding region annotated. The record is from RefSeq and is marked validated. NCBI's taxonomy places the organism in Eukaryota, Metazoa, Chordata, Mammalia, Rodentia, Muridae. The transcript is spliced from 10 exons.